AGUUUUGCAGCUCUGUUGCUAGUCAGCAGCUCACUGUCUGCCUCAGUGUCUUCAUUUCGUCUUUAUUUCAGCCUCAGUUCUCAAAUGCUAUUAUGGCUCCUGUGAUCCCUCUUUGCAUUUAUUUAAUUGUGACCGCACAUUGUUACAGGGUUCAAAAGCCAAAGCUGAUUGUUUCUCCUGCUGUCAUCUAUGAGAUGGACACAGUUCAUCUGACCUGUGAGGUGCCUCAGAAAGCAUCACAGUGCUAUUUCAGCUGUUUAGGGAAAGGGGACAAGGCUUAAGCUGCUUUAAAUUGUAAAUAUUCUCUCCAGGGUUAUGAUUUACUCAAAGAGUCAGGUCAAAACUCACCCACAGUAGUUAACAUGACAUGCUCCUACUCGAUGGACAUCUCUGGGAGUCUUGCCAUGUCUGAUCACUCUGAUCCAUCUUCAGUCACUGUCCAGAGACCUCCAGCUCCCACAUUGAUGGUGUCUCCUUUGGUCAUCACAGAGAAAGACAAAAUUCAUCUUAAUUGUGUGCCAUCUAAUUCUCCAGCAUCUCAGUGUAAUGUGUACACUGAGGGGAGUGAGUGUGGGUAAUAAUUACUCUGCUCCCUCCUGUCAACUCUCUCUUGGGUAUCAGGAGCUGAUCCAGUGGGCCAGACAAAGCUCACCUGCUCUUAUCAAAAUUAGGUGCUACUAUCAUGCAGAAACCCCCAGAGGUCGAUUUAUAUCUGACCUAUCUAACUCUGUACCUCUCUCUGGCCAAACCUCUCAUUUAGGAGGUAAGUAUUUUUGUAAACUUUACAGGACAAAUGGCACACAUACUAAGGAAGUAUUAUAAAAGAAGCUAGAUGAUUAAUAGAUCCAUAAACCUCAUUGCUGGUGAAAGCUGAGAAAAAACAGUUGUCACCUAGGUACCCGAAUAAACAUGUUCCG
Molecule: long non-coding RNA, 917 nt
Organism: Alosa sapidissima (American shad)
Lineage: Eukaryota; Metazoa; Chordata; Actinopteri; Clupeiformes; Clupeidae
Exons: 3
Source: RefSeq, a predicted model, not a curated record